UCGAGGAUCUUCGGCAAUGGGCGCAAGCCUGACCGAGCGACGCCGCGUGUGGGAUGAAGGCCUUCGGGUUGUAAACCACUGUCAGUGGGGAGGAAGGUCCGGUGCAGAACCGGAUUUGACCUAUCCGCAGAGGAAGUGUGGGCUAAGUCCGUGCCAGCAGCCGCGGUAAGACGGACCACACAAACGUUAUUCGGAAUUACUGGGCUUAAAGGGUGCGUAGGCUGUGCAGAAAGUUGGGUGUGAAAUCCCUCGGCUUAACCGAGGAAUUGCGCCCAAAACUACUGUGCUUGAGGAAGACAGAGGUAAGCGGAACUUAGGGUGGAGCGGUGAAAUGCGUUGAUAUCCUAAGGAACACCGGUGGCGAAAGCGGCUUACUGGGUCUUUUCUGACGCUGAGGCACGAAAGCUAGGGUAGCGAACGGGAUUAGAUACCCCCGUAGUCC
This 442-nucleotide ribosomal RNA is filed under the name uncultured bacterium. Its description in RNAcentral is "bacterial SSU rRNA". It matches the Rfam family "Bacterial small subunit ribosomal RNA", at positions 355 to 796 of the family's 1533-position model. The record is from RNAcentral.